This is a long non-coding RNA of Mustela erminea (ermine), 3946 nucleotides long. RefSeq lists it as uncharacterized. The record is from RefSeq and is a predicted model, not a curated record. NCBI's taxonomy places the organism in Eukaryota, Metazoa, Chordata, Mammalia, Carnivora, Mustelidae. The transcript is spliced from 4 exons.
AGCUUCUUGAAAGAGGAGUUAAAGGGAGGGUGAGAAAUUGGCUGUCUGAAAAUGUCUUAAACUCUUACUCCUGAUAGUUUGGCUAGUAUACAAUUCUCUGAUCAAGAUCAUUUUCCUUUAGAACUUUGAAGUUAUUGCCCUUUUAUUUCUGGUUUUCAGAGUUACUAACAAGAGUCUUCCAGAAUUUUGAACCUUGAACCAUUGUUAUUUAACCCAUGUUCACUUAUUUUUAUAUCCUUUCUGAAAGCUUAUAGGAUAUUCUGUUUGUCCCCAGUAUUCUAAAAUCUGAAGCAUGGUGAUUACAAACUCAUUAUCCCAACAAAUAUCCUCAAUUCCUUCAGAUUGUCCUAUUGCAAGUUUAAACUCAUUCACCAAUUUCUCUCCCUGCCCCCUCAACACUCUGAAGUGUUUGGGUGGAGGUUUGGAGCUGGCAGGGAGGGAACAAUGCAUCAGGAAAACAUUGUCUCUGUCAGGGUGGGCCCUAGUGAUUACCACCUAACCCCACUGGCAACUGAUGGGACAUCUGGGUCUUGCCUUGGUCCGUGGUCACCUGACCCCUGACACUUACUCUGCAUCUCCUUAUGUGAACUCUGAGGCCACAGGGUCUCACUGGCCCCAUUAGCCAUGCUGUUGCUCCUGUCACAGACACAGGACACUUGUGUGUGUGGGGAGGGGUGAUACAGGCCUCUCUGCUGCCUCCUGGGAUUUCCAUAGCCAAUGGGACACAUGUCCUCACGGCUUUACGGAUACUCUAAGUUUGGUGGGGGUUCUAUCAUUCCUGCUUUUGGAGCUGACCUAGGGUGGGGGAUGAGUGGCAAGAGAUGUUUGGCAGCACCCAGCUUCUUUCCUGACCCUCUGCUCCCCCGGGCCAAAGGCCCCCAUUCACUCUCUGUAGGGGAAAUAGCUGGUGAGGUGGUACCUUUCCAUCCUGUUACCCAUGCAGGGACCCCAUCUCUUUUUAGUCAGACCCAGUUUCUCCUGGAGUGCUGUCUCUGUCCUGGGCUCAGAUGUCUAUAUGUGGUAAUAGAGAAGGCUGCCACAUGGUUUCUUUGCCUCAACUUCUGGACCAGACCCAGGGGCUUUUUACAAUUUUAAUUUGUAGUUCUGGUUCAUCACUCCCUUGCUCACUGUCUUCUGAUGUCUUUGCUCUAACGUCUAAAAUCUACUGGCUUCUCUCACCUUUCCUAGUCAUUCCUUUGUUCCCUUCUUCCCAUUCAUGAGCUACUUGGAUAAUUCUUAAAACUGCCUGUCUGGCCUCAGGGCCUUUGCACUGCUUUCCCUGCUUGGAUGUUCUUCCAACUCUUCUUCUCUACUUCAUUCAGAUCCCUGCCUGAGUCUUCACCAGAGUGACAAUCUUUUUUUUUUUUUUUUUUAACUUAGCUAUAAUACAACCAUGAGAAAAUUUUUCAUAAGUGUGGCAUGAGUAGGACAUUUUAAAGCAUGACAGGUCUUUUUCUUUUUUUUUUUUAAGAUUUUUAUUUAUUUACUUGAACUUUUAAACUUAUAUCAAGGAUAAUUAUCAAAUGUUUGCCAUUGGAAUUAGAAGGAUUUUUAAAAAAUCAAAUGGAAUGAAAGCAUUUUGAGAUUAGGCCAUUCUGGGUAGGGAGGAAAGCUCUCCUGAGAGCCCUGUGCUGAGGUGAGAAAGAUUCAGACUCCCCUUAUCACGGGGCUUCCCAUCUCAGAGACUGUCCCCAAGUUCUGAGGACUCUGCAUGCCCAGCCUACUCUAUAGGCUAUCAUGAAUUGGGAGGAAGCAACCCAGGGUGGGAAGUAGGUAGCCUUGUUCUUAUACUUUGCCCUGCUUUUUGCUGACAGUGUAGCUUGGAGGCUAUUCAUCUUCCCUGAGCCUGUCCCCUAGUCUGAUGGGUAGGCUAUAUCAUCCACUUAGUGCUUAUGAGAACUUGGGAAAUCACAUGGUAAAGCUCUAAGCUCAACGCUUGACACAGGGUGUAUAUGUGUUAUUCAUUAGUUCCCUUCUCCUCUCGUCAGAUCACACAUUGCUUCUAUGGAGCACCUACUGCGAGCACAUACUUUUACAGGCCUGGUCCCUGCUCUCCAAGGAUUUCAGUUUCUCCUCCCUGCAUGAAAAGGAAGGCUUUCCUCAGAUGUCUGCUACACCCUGGCCUAAGAGCCAGAGCUCAUUUGCUGUUUGGGAUUGGUGAAGAGUAUGCCUGACUUCAAUAAUAUGUUCUGCUUUAUACCAAAAGCCCAGAGGCAUGAAAUGGAUUAGCUCUUGGAAAAUUGGGAGAAAAGUGAGUCUUGGACCCCGGGUGCUCAGGGAUGCAGCCCCACAGCAUAGGCCCCUGGCUCAGAUGUCAACGUGAAGACAAGAAGAAAGGUCAGUGGGAAAACCAGGGAAGCAAGAAGAGACAGAGGCAGGGACAGCAUGUCAGGCACUUGGGAUAGGGGGCAGGGAAUGAAGGAGGGGUAGUCAGAGAUAGCAACAGGGAGACUCCAGGGCAGAAAGCAAGAACUCAGGUCUGGUUCAGUCACUGCUGUCUGAAAGAUUGAGGUGGUAUAGACCUUUCUUGCCCUUGCUUGGGUGGUCCAGGCAGCAGCUCUGGGUGAGGCUCUGCAUUGUCCCUCUCACCCUCUGUAGCUCCAGACCCUCCAUCUGGGAUGCCACCUGUUCUCACUAUUCUCCCUGGGGCUGCUCUGGGUGAACACCAAUUCUAAGUGGGGCUCCUCUCUGGGUUGCUUUCUCUCUGCUGGGGUGGGGUGGGCAGCCCAGGGCUAGAGCUUCUCCUUAGUGGAAGUGCCUAGAAGCCUGAGCCUUCCCCUGUCACCACCGCUCACCAACAGGGCUUGGACCUAAGAAACAUGAUGCAGGCAACCUAUUGUUGCAACAAGAACAGAAGUGCUUUCUUUCUGGGUCUUGAACCUAAAAUGAGGAAAAUAGUGCCUAAAUCCUACAUUUGGAAGAUGAACAAAAAUAGUUCACUAAAUGCUCAGGACAGUGCCUUGUAAAAUGUGUCCCUUCAGAGGGGAGAGCUGUGACCCCUGAGACUGGGAGCCACUGUGCCCUGUGCUCACAGACCUUCCAAUGCACACAGACCUUCCAGUCUUCUUGUUACUGAGGCCUUCAGCAGGUGAGUAGGUACUGGGAUGGAGCCCCUCAUGGCCUGUAGUGGUCCAGACACUCAUCUGCCUGGCUAGCUUUGGUUUCUGUCUCUUACUAUUCAAUGGCCACCUGUGUUCUACACUAGCCAGCCUUGCCCCUCCUCUGGACACACAGCCAGUCACUGACCUCCAUGUAGUGCUGGUCUGUACCCUGCGCUCAAGGCUGAUGAAGAUGACCUGAAUGGCCAAUGAUAGUACUGCUGGCUAGCCAUUAGGCAGAAUGCAGUCCAGGGACCUAUGGAGAGAGAAGGAGGGGGGUAGGUCCUCAGGGCAGAACUCUGGCAUCCUCCUAGUUGACAUGAAAUGAAUAGGAGAGUAUCAAGGGGAGAGCACUUGAAGGUGUUCCAGGUGCAAAAGCAACAGGAGAAGAGGCUUGGAGGUGCAGACCCACCACUGCACAUGGUUGGAGGGUCCAGGCAGAGGUAGGUGAAGGUGAAGAGGAAGGGAAUGUGGAGCUUGAAUCUCAAAGGCAGGUUGGGAAGGCCCAGGGGUCUGACUUUGCCUACUCUAUGGGGCCAGGUAAAUAGGAGCGUGCCCAGAUGGCGGGCUCCUAUACUGUUCCUCCAUGGCCCAGCUUCCCCAGCCACCCCUGACUCAAAAGGAGUGAUGGCUAUCUUUCCCAGCCCCCAUGGGCACCCUCUGCUAUGCCUGGAGCCACUUGGCCCCAUUAGUCUGCUCUUCCCUGGGCUCUGAGUUCAGUCAUGUCUGCCCUGCCUCUGAAUGCCUUUUGCACCUGUGCAGGGCCUGUGGCACACUUGAUGUGUAUGUGUGGAAUGGAUCAGUGAAAGAAUUAAAAAUCUCAGGGGAAAAUUUCCAAAAGGCAAGAA